RNAcentral lists this ribosomal RNA (253 nucleotides) under uncultured bacterium. RNAcentral describes it as "partial 16S ribosomal RNA". It matches the Rfam family "Bacterial small subunit ribosomal RNA", at positions 524 to 776 of the family's 1533-position model. The record is from RNAcentral.
UAAGGAGGGUGCGAGCGUUAAUCGGAAUUACUGGGCGUAAAGGGCGCGUAGGCGGUGGGUUACGUCUGCCGUGAAAUCCCCGGACUCAACCUGGGAAUGGCGGUGGAAACGGGCUGACUGGAGUAUGGGAGGGGGUGAUGGAAUUCCAGGUGUAGCGGUGAAAUGCGUAGAGAUCUGGAGGAACACCAGUGGCGAAGGCGGUCGCCUGGCCCAAUACUGACGCUGAGGCGCGAAAGCGUGGGGAGCAAACAGG